CAGCAGCCGCGGUAAUACGAAGGGUGCAAGCGUUACUCGGAAUUACUGGGCGUAAAGCGUGCGUAGGUGGUGGUUUAAGUCCGUUGUGAAAGCCCUGGGCUCAACCUGGGAAUUGCAGUGGAUACUGGGUCACUAGAGUGUGGUAGAGGAUAGUGGAAUUUCCGGUGUAGCAGUGAAACGCGUAGAGAUCGGAAGGAACAUCUGUGGCGAAGGCGACUAUCUGGGCCAACACUGACACUGAGGCACGAAAGCGUGGGGAGCAAACAGGAUUAGAUACCCCAGUAGUCCCUGUCUCUUAUAA
RNAcentral lists this ribosomal RNA (301 nucleotides) under uncultured bacterium. Its description in RNAcentral is "partial 16S ribosomal RNA". It matches the Rfam family "Bacterial small subunit ribosomal RNA", at positions 509 to 809 of the family's 1533-position model. The record is from RNAcentral.